This 1206-nucleotide long non-coding RNA is filed under the name Lathyrus oleraceus (garden pea). Its description in RNAcentral is "Pisum sativum (pea) long non-coding RNA (PSAT_LNC009236)". Lineage: Eukaryota; Viridiplantae; Streptophyta; Magnoliopsida; Fabales; Fabaceae. The record is from RNAcentral.
GGAUUUCAUUUUUUUUAUCCGGUUCCCGGUUCACUACUGCAGUUCACAUUCGUUUAGCGUUUAGUGUGGAUUGAAACGCGUUUAGUAUGUAUUGAAAAAAAAGCGGGAAAGACUAACUGAUAUCUAUAUAUAACAAAACAUGCGAUUCUUUACUGGAAAAUUCUUCAUUUCUCAAUUUUCUAUAUGUUUCUGUUCGGGUUCUACUUCUCUUCGAAGUUCUUAUAGAAGGUCGGUUACUCUUUCUGUUCUUCUUCUUCAUCACUGCUCAUCUUGUAAAGUUUACGUUUUCUUCUGAUUUAUUGUAUAAUAUCGAUCAGAUUAGUUAUCUUCUUUGAAAUUUUCUCUGUAUUAGAUCUUAUUCAUGAAAUUAUAAUUUAUGUAGUUAGUUUCUGGAUAUGUUAUCUAAUUAAAUUCACUGAAAUUAUAGCUGAUUCUUGAAAUUAAAGUUAGUUUCUAAUUAUAUUGUCUAAUUAGAUUUACGGUAAUUAUAGCUGAUUUUUGAAAUUGAAGUUAGUUUCUGGUUAUGUUUUCUAAUUAAAUUCACUGAAAUUAUAGUUGAUUCUUGAAAUUGAAAUUGGUUUCUGAUUGUGUUUUCUGAUUAGAUUCACUGAAAUUAUAGUUAUUCUUGAAAUUGUAGUCUAUGUAGUUAGUUCCUGGUUAGGGUUUCUAAUUAUAGUUUAUGUAGUUAGCUUCUUUAAUGUAACACUCUUCAUUUCUCUAUUUUCAAUCUCAUGGAAGGUCAGUUACUUUUUCUUUUUCUGAUCUUCUUCACUCCUCAUCUUGAAAAUUUUCUGAUAAAAUCCAUAUGAGAUUUAUAGUUAUAUGUAGUUAUCUUGAAAAUUGUAGUCUAUGAGGUGUAUUUUUUGACUUAUUUAAUUAAUUACAUGUGAUAUUGAAUAUUGAUGUGUGGUUUGGUUCAUUUACGAAAAAUCAAAUUUUAUUAGGGUGGCUGAAGAGAAACUGAAGCAGAAAAAGAAGAAACUCAGAAAGAAAGAGAAGGCUUAUGUUGAUCUGUGUGAGAAGUUACACGGCUACAAGCCAUUUGAAAGGAAGAAAUGAAAAGAUACUUUUUGUGCUUAUAAGAUACUCCUCAUUGUUCUAAACCAAAUCUAUGUUCCUUUCCUAGUCUAUCACAUUUUCUAACAAUCAUGUUUGCAUAGGCAUGAUAUUCAUUUGUCAGUAUGUGUAAAUAUCUGCAUUGGAAAU